GACAGAGGAGCCAAGCGUUGUCCGGAUUGACUGGGCGUAAAGCGCACGCAGGCGGCCCGGCGCGUGGGGUGUGAAAGCUGGCGGCUUAACUGCCAGAUGCCAUCCCAUACGGCUGGGCUCGAGCCCUGCAGAGGUCCAUGGAAUUGCCGGUGUAGUGGUGAAAUGCGUAGAGAUCGGGAAGAACAUCGGUGGCGAAGGCGCUCUACUGGACCACAACUGACACUCAGGGACGAAAGCUAGGGGAGCGAAUGGG
Molecule: ribosomal RNA, 253 nt
Filed under: uncultured bacterium
Lineage: Bacteria
Description: partial 16S ribosomal RNA
Rfam family: Bacterial small subunit ribosomal RNA
Source: RNAcentral